RNAcentral lists this ribosomal RNA (550 nucleotides) under Triticum aestivum (bread wheat). RNAcentral's name for it is "partial small subunit ribosomal RNA". The record is from RNAcentral. Lineage: Eukaryota; Viridiplantae; Streptophyta; Magnoliopsida; Poales; Poaceae.
AAAAUUAAUUUUAAAUUUAUUUAUAUCAACAGUAAUUGUAUACAGUACCUGCUUAAGUAGAUAAAUACAGUGUUUGUUAUAGUACCUGACUUUUCUUCUCUGUUUUACACUUUGCACUGUAGCUUAGGUGACUUUCUUCCUUCAUGUUAGAGGAUCCACUUCCAACGUCCAGCCCCACUACGAAAGCCCAAUUCCUCUCGCUCGCUCGCGGCGGCAGCCAGCGCCGCCCGCCGCCUUCGCCCUCGCUGCCUCGGCUGCUCUCACCGGCGUUUGUCAGCGCACAGGAAGCUCGCCCUUGGUACGCUUCUCCUGCUCGCUCGCCGCGGCCGCGGCCGUGGCCGCCGCCCACGACCGCGUUCCACAACGCCCGGCAGCUCGUCCUUCAAGCACGACUCGUCUGCUCGUUGAAAUGUGGAGGAGAUGUGGGCAGAGGAGGUUCUGAUGGAUGUGCUGCCAUAUAUGAUGAUUGAUCCGGUGCCUCGUCGCCGUCGUCCGGCUGCGCCAUGGUGCCACGUCGUCGCCUGCGAGAUGGAAUAGACAGAGAAGAUAC